Molecule: long non-coding RNA, 353 nt
Filed under: Mytilus galloprovincialis (Mediterranean mussel)
Lineage: Eukaryota; Metazoa; Mollusca; Bivalvia; Mytilida; Mytilidae
Source: RNAcentral
GUCUGGAGCUGGCAUGUCAGUUAACUGCUAGUAGUCUGUUGUUAUUUAUGUAUUAUUGUCAUUUUAUUUAUUUUCUUUUGUUACAUCUUUUGACAUCAGACUCGGACUUCUCUUGAACUGAAUUUUAAUGUGCGUAUUGUUAUUCUUUUACUUUUCUACACUGGCUAGAGGUAUAGGGGGAGGGUUGAGAUCUCAUAAACAUGUUUAACCCCGCCGCAAUUUUGCGCCUGUCCCAAGUCAGGAGCCUCUGGCCUUUGUUAGUCUUGUAUGAUUUUAAAUUUUAGUUUCUUGUGUAUAAUUCGGAGUUUAGUAUGACGUCAAUUAUCACUGUACUAUUAUGCAUAUUUUAGGGG